Molecule: long non-coding RNA, 992 nt
Filed under: Olea europaea subsp. europaea
Lineage: Eukaryota; Viridiplantae; Streptophyta; Magnoliopsida; Lamiales; Oleaceae
Source: RNAcentral
AUGAAAUUGGAUGACCAUGAUAAAAUAAAAUAAAAUUGGGUAGCUAUGAUGACAUUAAACAUAAAAUUGGGUGUCCAUUUGUGGACUUAUCCCUAAAAUGUUGCUAUCUAGCUUACAAAUUGCUUUAUGGACUAUGGUCCACACAGUUGUAUGCCUUCUGCCUAUAUGAGACAGCAACAUUUUUUUUUAUUUUUUUGGGGACCCUAAACAUUACUCUUAAAUGUUGCACCACCCAACUUGAGUUUAGUCAUAGUCCAUAUAUAUUUCAAUUAAUCUUAUAAAUGCGUAAUGACAUACUUGAGUUUAGCACUUCAAUUUAUACUGCUAUGAGCUUGUUUGGCAUCACCUUUGAAAAUUCGGAAGUUGUUUUUGAGACUAAGAGCUGUUUAACAUGAAUUCUGAAUUAGAUUUAUUUAAAAGUUCUUUUAGUCAGAUAAAGUAUUUCUAGAAAAUUAUCUAAAUAUGUCCGAAAACAACUUUCGAUUUUUUAAAAGUCAUGUUAAACGGGUCUUAAAAGGCUUUUGAACAUUUUUUGACUGUUUUAUGAAGGUAUUUUUUUAGAAGAAGUUGGCCUAAUGUAAACAAGUGGAAAUCUUAUCAAAUGGACUUUAUAUUGAACCAUCAACAUUGGACUAGAUGACUACAUUUUUUUUUUUUUUGGGCAGUUUGGCUGCAUUGUGCUGCUGUUGUCUUCUGGAUGCAUGCUUUUAACGAGGAAGGACAUCUGAAGAGGGGAUUUGAUUUAAUUAAACGAGAGACAAAAUGUUAUUGGUUGCCCUUAUCAAUUUCAUGAAUGUAAAUUGUCUUAAUUCUUAUCUGCCUCUGUUUUUCAUUGCCCUUUUAAAUAAUUUGGACCAUGACUUGGAUUUGUGCUUUUGAUUUCUCCAAUACAUACAUGUUUUACAUUUGCAAUAGUCCUCUUAUCGAUUGUUAGCUAUUUGAGUAGUUACUCGAUCUCAUAUUUGAUUGCUUUCACAAUGUACUAGACACGA